GUUAGCACUGUAGCCUAUGUGAGUGGCGCCCCCUGCAGUUAUCAGACAAACGCCCCUGCCCGUAGGCCCUAAGGAGAGAGCAGUUCCAGAGCCCUUUCCAGCUGGGAAAAGACCCCAGCCCCCUGUUGCCAGAAAGCUCUGCUCCCCAAACUCUUUCUACCGCACACCUCCUAUCACUUUGAUCUCAUCAGGAAGCCCAGAGGAGCUGAGAAGAGGAAAGGGAGGAGCAAUGCACUCUCACAUUGGCUGUAGUUUUGUUGUUGUUGUUGUUAACAUGUUCACAUUCCUGGCAUCUCUCAAGCUUCAAAGCACCCCCGCGGGGGCGCCAGGGCAGGGGGUUGUUAUGGGCCUCUGACAAAAUGGGUGAGGAUGUUGGACCCAGAUCGGGGCCACUGAGGUCCGGGUCCCCCGUUUCAGGUCUCCAAGGGCAGGAGGGGAGGGGAGUGGGGGCGAGCAGGCCGUGGCUUAGUAGUGAGGCCCGAGGCUCCCAGGGUCCUGCUCCAGCGUCUGCUCAUCGGAGAGCAGACGCCUCCGUGUGCCUCCGUCUCCUCGGCUGUCAAAUGGGCACACGGAGCCUGGGUUAGUAAGAACGGCUCCGGGCACGAAGAAGGAGCGGUGGCGCCCAAGGGCAGGUCCCUGAGAUCCGGCUUCUCCCUCCCUGGCCCCGCAGCCUGUCUCCACAACUCCCACAGUGCGAGAUCUCCGAGGACAGAAGUCCCGCGGAUGUCCCCGCUCUGGCCUCGGCAGCUGGCUUCCACUUCCUUGUUUUCCAUGCCAGGUUCUGAGGUCACGGCCCAGAGGUGUCCACAGCCCGGGGCCCCAGUGUCUGGCUUCGGGCUUGGGGAUCCCAGGAGCCCACCUGGCCCUCAAAGGCUGGUCCUUCGGGGCAGGUUCUUUUGUGUCAGGCUGGACUGGGGAUAAAUAGGUGUGAUUAGGAGAUCAAAGCGCUUACCACGGGUUUGGCCGGAGGGGGCCCUUUGAUCUGCCCAUCCCUUUGCCUCCCCCCCACCCCCCAAGCCCUGGAGUCCCGGCAACUCCGAAAUCUCCCCGCUUUCAUUCUUGUCUUAUCAAGCUGCUGCCUCAGCUCCCCGCACCGGGCGCGUCUCGCCUGUUGAGGAGGAGCUGGGUUUUCCCUCCAGGUUGUUUACUAAAUCACCAGUUCGAAGCCGUAGGCAGGGCGCUGCAGCAGGCCUGCGAAACCCGAGCGGUUUCAUUUUGAGCCUCGGUUGCAAAACCUGAAAUCUUGAUCUGCUUGUAAAUGAUGGGCGGGUGAAUCACGCCUGCCUCUCGGGGUAUCUAAUUAGAUGCAGGUCCUGCCUGGUCUCCCAGAACUUGGCCCAGCGCAGGGAGGGAUCGUUCUGAGUCUUCUUUCUUGUUCCUUUGAAAAGGAUAGAAAUUCCUGUGACUGCUUAUUGCAGUGGACCUGUGGAAUUUUCCUCCAAACCUGACUGAUGGCUCCUACCGAUCGUCAUCGUGGCCCAGAACGCAGCCUCUGCCACCUUGGGGCACCUCGGCAGGCUCUUCAGGCUGCGAGGACCCCAGACUAGAAGAGAGGAGCUGGUCUAGGCACCGGGGACGUAUCAGUGAGCCAGAUGGACCGGAGGUUCUACCUCUUGGGGAGUUUGUGUUCCCAGGAAUGGGGGAAGACAAACAAUAAAUAUAACCACCGAGAGAAUGUUAUCUUAUCUCUUAAAAAGGGAACGGCAGACACAGAAGCUCUGAAAAGCUACCCUCCCGAAAGAGACAUUUCCAUGUACAAGGGAACUCUCCGUUUUUGCAAGGGUGGCUCCCUCUCUGGACCGGGAAGAGAAGAAAUGACCAAAUCUCUAGCAACUCUGAUCAGUGGAGGAGGCCCUGACCUAAAUCUGCAUCACAACCUUAACACUUGUUGCUUGUGCUUUUCCGGUAACCUCCCGGAGCCGGCCUUCCCCUCCCCCAACAUCUUCUUCGGGCUUUGGCUGGAGAUGGUAUUUAAAGGGGGUGGCUUCAGCCAGCUUGGAGUUAGUCAGGUUUUGUUUGGUUUUGGUUUUGGGGUUUGUUUUUUUUUUGGUCUCUCCCAUAUAUACAGGAGCUGGACGUGUUAUUAAAUGACUUGUUUUUCUCCUCUUAAUCUGUCUUUUGUUACGGGAGCGUCUCAGCCUAGAAGGGUAAAGGGAAAAGUAUUUUUUCUCCCCUACAGGGGUCAGGAAGGCCUCAUCAAGAAGGUGACAUUGGAGCAAAGGCUCAAAGGAGGUGAAAGAGUAGGCCGGGCAAUUUUCUAGGGAAAGAAACCUCCUGGGGCGCCUGGGUGGCUCAGUCGGUUAAGCAUCUGCCUUCA
This is a long non-coding RNA of Callorhinus ursinus (northern fur seal), 2317 nucleotides long. RefSeq lists it as uncharacterized. The record is from RefSeq and is a predicted model, not a curated record. NCBI's taxonomy places the organism in Eukaryota, Metazoa, Chordata, Mammalia, Carnivora, Otariidae.